This 513-nucleotide ribosomal RNA is filed under the name Bacillus sp. V3-139. RNAcentral describes it as "bacterial SSU rRNA". It matches the Rfam family "Bacterial small subunit ribosomal RNA", at positions 1 to 498 of the family's 1533-position model. The record is from RNAcentral. Lineage: Bacteria; Bacillati; Bacillota; Bacilli; Caryophanales; Bacillaceae.
UUUAGAGUUUUGAUCCCUGGCUCAGGACGAACGCUGGCGGCGUGCCUAAUACAUGCAAGUCGAGCGGAUUGAUGGGAGCUUGCUCCCAUCAGUCAGCGGCGGACGGGUGAGUAACACGUGGGUAACCUGCCUGUAAGACUGGGAUAACUCCGGGAAACCGGGGCUAAUACCGGAUAACUCAUUUCCUCGCAUGAGGAAAUGUUGAAAGGUGGCUUUUAGCUAUCACUUACAGAUGGACCCGCGGCGCAUUAGCUAGUUGGUGAGGUAAUGGCUCACCAAGGCGACGAUGCGUAGCCGACCUGAGAGGGUGAUCGGCCACACUGGGACUGAGACACGGCCCAGACUCCUACGGGAGGCAGCAGUAGGGAAUCUUCCGCAAUGGACGAAAGUCUGACGGAGCAACGCCGCGUGAGUGAUGAAGGUUUUCGGAUCGUAAAGCUCUGUUGUUAGGGAAGAACAAGUACCGUUCGAAUAGGGCGGUACCUUGACGGACCUAACCAGAAAGCCACGCAA